GGUCCUGUAGCUCAGUCGGUUAGAGCAGUGAACUCAUAAUUCAUUGGUCAUUGGUUCAAACCCAAUCAGGAUCACCA
RNAcentral lists this transfer RNA (77 nucleotides) under Escherichia coli. Its description in RNAcentral is "tRNA-Ile". It matches the Rfam family "tRNA". Rfam says of the family: Transfer RNA (tRNA) molecules are approximately 80 nucleotides in length. The record is from RNAcentral. Lineage: Bacteria; Pseudomonadati; Pseudomonadota; Gammaproteobacteria; Enterobacterales; Enterobacteriaceae. RNAcentral also lists the same sequence under 7 other names.